GGCGACAUAGCCAAGUGGUAAGGCGUAGGUCUGCAACACCUUGAUCAUGAGUUCAAAUCUCAUUGUCGCCU
This 71-nucleotide transfer RNA is filed under the name [Clostridium] fimetarium. Its description in RNAcentral is "Clostridium fimetarium tRNA". It matches the Rfam family "tRNA". From Rfam's summary of the family: Transfer RNA (tRNA) molecules are approximately 80 nucleotides in length. The record is from Rfam by way of RNAcentral. Lineage: Bacteria; Bacillati; Bacillota; Clostridia; Lachnospirales; Lachnospiraceae.